This 153-nucleotide ribosomal RNA is filed under the name Sphenodon punctatus (tuatara). RNAcentral describes it as "5.8S ribosomal RNA (ENSSPUG00000014083.1)". It matches the Rfam family "5.8S ribosomal RNA". From Rfam's summary of the family: 5.8S ribosomal RNA (5.8S rRNA) is a component of the large subunit of the eukaryotic ribosome. It is transcribed by RNA polymerase I as part of the 45S precursor that also contains 18S and 28S rRNA. Lineage: Eukaryota; Metazoa; Chordata; Lepidosauria; Sphenodontia; Sphenodontidae. The record is from Rfam by way of RNAcentral.
AACUCUUAGUGGUGGGUCACUCGGCUCAUGCGUCAAUGAAUAAUGCAGCUAGCUGCGAGAAUUAAUGUGAAUUGAAGGACACAUUGAUCAUCGACACUUCAAAUGCACUUGCGGCCCUGGGUUCCUCCUGGGGCUAUGCCUGUCUGAGCGUCA